Molecule: long non-coding RNA, 703 nt
Organism: Capsicum annuum
Lineage: Eukaryota; Viridiplantae; Streptophyta; Magnoliopsida; Solanales; Solanaceae
Exons: 2
Source: RefSeq, a predicted model, not a curated record
CUAGAUCCUGAUCCGAAGGGUUACACAAUAGUGCCUACUACAAUAAAUCCUGGUGAAGAGGCGCCUUUUGUUCUCUUUGUUUUUACUAAAGCUUCGAUAAGUCUUGAAACUUUAUAAUUUUGCAUGGAUGGCCCAUUUGGUUUGGGUUUGAGUUUGGUCAUCACUUGUGGGUCCUAAGCAUCUCCCCAAAGGGAUUCUGCAUGGACUAUCCCUAAUCAUUCACACGUGUCUGAGAGCUGGUUGAACGUUGCAGUAAAAAAACUCGAUAAGCAUAGAAAGAGGAGAAAGGAUGGUCUGUCCUUUGCGAAUGGAUGAAGCAAGCUAUCUUAUUCUGGGAAGUCCAUGGAUGGUAAAUGUCAUUUCUGCAUGGGUGCUGGAAGUCUCUAAAGCCAAUAGAAGGAAGAUGGUCCAUUGAUUCUAGUCUUCAGCUCUGAACAUGGUCUCGAAGAGGGUUCUCGGGUAUUAAAAUACUGUACAUGAGUAGAUGUAAGAAAAUAAGAUUUAGUUAUGUAAAUGAGGGUUAACCAAAAGGAAUAGAUGAAAAAAAAAAUAGGAAUAGAUGUGAGGGAUGCAUGUUGGAGUCCACCAUAUGGCUGAAAUAUCAAUUGAAGUUUCAGCAUCAGUUUUGAAGUUCUUGUAGACAUCACUUCAUUAAUUGUAAAAACCAAACAUUCUUACAUCAAUGGAAUUAACUAACACCUUU